UACGUAGGUGACCAGCGUUGUCCGGAUUUACUGGGCGUAAAGAGCGCGCAGGCGGUCGUUCAAGUCGAGUGUGAAAGCCCCCGGCUCAACUGGGGAGGGUCAUUCGAUACUGAUCGACUCGAAGGCAGGAGAGGGAAGUGGAAUUCCCGGUGUAGUGGUGAAAUGCGUAGAUAUCGGAAGGAACACCAGUGGCGAAGGCGACUUCCUGGCCUGUUCUUGACGCUGAGGCGCGAAAGCUAGGGGAGCAAACGGG
This 253-nucleotide ribosomal RNA is filed under the name uncultured bacterium. RNAcentral describes it as "partial 16S ribosomal RNA". It matches the Rfam family "Bacterial small subunit ribosomal RNA", at positions 524 to 776 of the family's 1533-position model. The record is from RNAcentral.